AUUGAACGCUGGCGGCAUGCUUUACACAUGCAAGUCGAACGGCAGCGCGGGCUUCGGCCUGGCGGCGAGUGGCGCACGGGUGAGUAAUGCAUCGGAACGUGCCCAGUAGUGGGGGAUAGCCCGGCGAAAGCCGGAUUAAUACCGCAUACGACCUGCGGGUGCAAGCGGGGGACCGAAAGGCCUCGCGCUAUUGGAGCGGCCGAUGUCGGAUUGGCUAGUUGGUGGGGUAAAGGCUUACCAAGGAGGCGAUCCGUAGCUGGUCUGAGAGGACGACCGGCCACAUGGGGAGGGAGACACGGCCAAUGGGCCUGCGGGAGGCAGCAGUGGGGAAUUGGGGACAAUGGGGGCGACUCUUGUCCAGUCGUGCGGAGCGCGGGAAGGCGGCGCUGGGGUUGUAAACCGGUUCUGUGCGGGAAGAAAUCCUCUGGGCUAAGACCCCGGGUGGAUGACGGUACCGGAAAAAUAAGCACCGGCUAACUACGUG
Molecule: ribosomal RNA, 484 nt
Filed under: uncultured bacterium
Lineage: Bacteria
Description: partial 16S ribosomal RNA
Rfam family: Bacterial small subunit ribosomal RNA
Source: RNAcentral